This 488-nucleotide ribosomal RNA is filed under the name uncultured bacterium. RNAcentral describes it as "partial 16S ribosomal RNA". It matches the Rfam family "Bacterial small subunit ribosomal RNA", at positions 28 to 507 of the family's 1533-position model. The record is from RNAcentral.
GACGAACGCUGGCGGCGUGCUUAACACAUGCAAGUCGAACGGAAAGGCCCUGAUCUUGUGGGGUGCUCGUGUGCCGCACGGGUGAGUAACACGUGAGUAACACGUACUUGUCUUUGGGGUAACUUUAGGAAAAUGGGGCUAUUAUCGCAUAGGAGAUCCUGAACCAUGGUGGGGGAUGGAAAGUUACGGUGGUUGGGGCACGAAUAGGGGCUUAUGCGCUUGUUGGGGGGGUAGUGGCUUACCAAGGCUUCGACGGGUAGACGGCCUGAGAGAGUGACCGGCCACACUGGAACUGAGACACGGUCCAGACGCCUACGGGAGGCAGCAGUCGGGAACGUUAGGCAAUGGGCGCAAGCAUGACACAGCAAUGCCGCGUGGGUGACGAAGGCCUUCGGGUCGUAAAGCCCGUUUGUGGGGUAAGAACAGCUGUCGCAUAAGACGCAGCGUUAGUGACGGUAACGAAUAAAGAAGCACCGGCUAACUACGUG